Molecule: long non-coding RNA, 237 nt
Filed under: Gallus gallus (chicken)
Lineage: Eukaryota; Metazoa; Chordata; Aves; Galliformes; Phasianidae
Source: RNAcentral
GCUGGUUUUAAAGCCUUUCUGGACAGGACUGCACGGCCACACUGAGAUGCCAACCACCCCAGACCUUCCGUUGGCUCUGGGACGAGAAGAAAGGUCACAUCUCAACUGGAAGGAACACCCAGGACCCCUAACGCCUUAACUAAAAACAACAAUCCAGACCACAUCACGCAUCAGCCAGCGGGUGAUGGAGGAGGACGGAGGGUCUCUCCCAUGCCACUGGGGGCUGAGAGCCCAGAA